GUCGCAUCGCUCCGUGCCAACCCCGUCCCCCCGAUGGGUGGGCCGGCGGAGGCUCGGAUGCGGAGAGUGGCCCGUCGUUCCCCAUCGGUGCGGCGGGCUGAAGAGCGGGUUCUCAUCUCGUUGGCCGCGAGCAACAAGGGUGGAUGGGAGCAAGGCCUACGUUGUUGCAUCGUGCCUGUCGGAGAGAGGAUCGCACCCCUCAGGUGAAUCCCGAACCAUGCGUCGGUCCACGGAGCGACGGCUUGGGAU
This 249-nucleotide unclassified non-coding RNA is filed under the name Dendrobium bigibbum var. bigibbum. RNAcentral describes it as "internal transcripbed spacer 2". The record is from RNAcentral. Lineage: Eukaryota; Viridiplantae; Streptophyta; Magnoliopsida; Asparagales; Orchidaceae.